UGGGGAAUAUUGCACAAUGGGCGAAAGCCUGAUGCAGCAACGCCGCGUGAGCGAUGAAGGCCUUCGGGUCGUAAAGCUCUGUCCUCAAGGAAGAUAAUGACGGUACUUGAGGAGGAAGCCCCGGCUAACUACGUGCCAGCAGCCGCGGUAAUACGUAGGGGGCUAGCGUUAUCCGGAAUUACUGGGCGUAAAGGGUGCGUAGGUGGUUUCUUAAGUCAGAAGUGAAAGGCUACGGCUCAACCGUAGUAAGCUUUUGAAACUGAGAAACUUGAGUGCAGGAGAGGAGAGGAGAAUUCCUAGUGUAGCGGUGAAAUGCGUAGAUAUUAGGAGGAAUACCAGUUGCGAAGGCGGCUCUCUGGACUGUAACUGACACUGAGGCACGAAAGCGUGGGGAGCAAACA
This 401-nucleotide ribosomal RNA is filed under the name uncultured prokaryote. RNAcentral describes it as "bacterial SSU rRNA". It matches the Rfam family "Bacterial small subunit ribosomal RNA", at positions 355 to 774 of the family's 1533-position model. The record is from RNAcentral.